This 29-nucleotide non-coding RNA is filed under the name Macaca fascicularis (crab-eating macaque). RNAcentral also lists the same sequence under 1 other name. The record is from RNAcentral. Lineage: Eukaryota; Metazoa; Chordata; Mammalia; Primates; Cercopithecidae.
UCCCAGAUUUGAGCUAUGAUGUGUGGAGA